CAAUAUUUCUAAUGUAAAGACCAUCAACUACAUACAAUUGGGUUGAUGUUUGGAUAGAAAAUGCCUGAGUAGUUCUAGAAGGACUGCUGCUUAUUCAUCUGAAAAUUGUGGGCCAAUACUAUCUGCAAUAAGUAAAGCACACCAUCACAUAGCUAUGAAAAAAACUAUGUACAUGUUAUGUAAUAUCUUCUAGAUUUCAUCCUUGAGAACUUUUGUUCAUAUUCAUUGUUCAAAAAUGAAUAAAUCGUUUAGAUUUAUCAUGGUAUGGGGGCGGGAAAAAUCGAAUCCAAACAUCACAUAUUAAGUCUAAAACUAUCUGCUUUUGAGACAAUGGGCCAAGUCACAACAAUUUGCACAAACAAGAUAGGCAUCCUUUCAAAAAAUGAAAAGAGAGUAAUAGAGUUUCAGCUUGGAAAGGACGCAGUAAAGGAUGAAACUUCUUUGGAUAUGGUAGGUGACCUCCUUAAACUACUACAACAAGCUGUUGGUUUAAACAAAAUUGGUACAGUUCACAUCACUUCUUGAAUUCUUCAUCAUGACCUACAUAGACUCAAAACCCAAAAGACCAGGACCCUUUUCCUCCUCAAACCCAUGUCAAACACAACCUCUUGCCCGCCCCAAGGAUAAAUGUUAUGUUAAUGGAAAAUUGUAUUGAUGCAACAUAUUACUGAUUAGUGAAUGAUAUGAUUUGAUAAAAUGGUAUUUUUUUGGUUCCUAAGUUAUUUUUUCUCUUUUUUCUUUUCUUUUUGAAAAUUUAAAUAUGCAGUGUAGUACCCAUCUCCAACUUUUUUAUAUUUAUUUUCCUCACUUUCUAUUUCAAAAUUCUGUAAUCAAAUAUUUUCUUUUAAAUUUUAUUGAUUCUCAAAUAUUCUAUGUUCUCAUUCUUUUUUUUAUUGUGGUUCAUUAGUUGGUUAACUCAGAAUGGUGUCUCCAUUACGUGGGAAGCAACAAAUUAUAUGGUUUCCCCAUUAUUUGAAGAUGAAAAUCUCCUGUGGUGGAGCUUAAUGCUCUAUAAAACAUUGAAAGAGAAUCACAAGCAGCAUAUCCAAUUAGUGCUUCCUAAGUCCAACAUGUUCUUUUGAUUUUUUUUUUUUUUUUUUUAGCUCUUAGUGCUGUCCUUAUUUAACUUCAAGUGAAUUGGUGCUUCCUUUUUGUUUUAUUGAAGUCAUUUGCAAUUUUUGGAGUUGAGGAUAAAUGUUAUAAUGAGUCAUUGCCAUUUUCAUGAAACUUAUGCCAUUUUGGGUAUUUGGGCUAGGUUGGUUUUGGUUAUCUAUCUAUUAUUGAUGAGGCCGAGGGCAACGGCUAUACAAUAUGACACUUAAAUUUAUUUGGUUAAAUAACUCACUUUUCCCUCUUUUACGAAUUA
This is a long non-coding RNA of Quercus robur (English oak), 1366 nucleotides long. RefSeq lists it as uncharacterized. Lineage: Eukaryota; Viridiplantae; Streptophyta; Magnoliopsida; Fagales; Fagaceae. The transcript is spliced from 2 exons. The record is from RefSeq and is a predicted model, not a curated record.